GCUCAAUGAAUUUUAAUAGCCGCAGUUUAAUCUGUGCUAAGGUAGCAUAAUCAAUAGUCUUUUAAUUAAAGAAUAGAAUGAAAGGUAAAACGAAUUUAUAUCUGAAUUUUUUCUUCUUAAUAAAAAUAUUUAAUGAGUAAAAAAACUUAUUUAAAAAAGAAAGACGACAAGACCCUAUCAAACUUUACUUAAGUUAUACUGGGGAAGUAAAUUAACAAAAUUUUAAUAAUUUUUUUUUAAAAAAGAACCUUUUUGAUUCGAUCAAGUUACUGUAGGGAUAACAGCAUAAUAAAUUUUUAAAGCUCUUAUUCUAAAAUUUGAUUAUGACCUCGAUGUUGAAUUAAUUUCCUAAAAUGUGCAAAAAAAUUUUAAGGUAGACUGUUCGUCUAUUAAACAAUU
RNAcentral lists this ribosomal RNA (399 nucleotides) under Afrilobus sp. CASENT9037121. RNAcentral's name for it is "partial 16S ribosomal RNA". Lineage: Eukaryota; Metazoa; Arthropoda; Arachnida; Araneae; Orsolobidae. The record is from RNAcentral.